RNAcentral lists this ribosomal RNA (1261 nucleotides) under metagenome. RNAcentral describes it as "bacterial SSU rRNA". It matches the Rfam family "Bacterial small subunit ribosomal RNA", at positions 8 to 1266 of the family's 1533-position model. The record is from RNAcentral.
AGAGUUUGAUCCUGGCUCAGGAUGAACGCUAGCGGCAGGCCUAACACAUGCAAGUCGAACGGUAACAGAGAAGAGCUUGCUCUUUUGCUGACGAGUGGCGCACGGGUGCGUAACGCGUAUACAAUCUACCUUUUACAGGGGGAUAGUCUUUAGAAAUGAAGAAUAAUAUCCCAUAGUAUCUAAAUUUCGCAUGUUAUUUAGAUUAAAGUUUCGGCGGUAAAAGAUGAGUAUGCGUCCUAUUAGCUAGAUGGUGUGGUAACGGCACACCAUGGCGACGAUAGGUAGGGGCCCUGAGAGGGGGAUCCCCCACACUGGUACUGAGACACGGACCAGACUCCUACGGGAGGCAGCAGUGAGGAAUAUUGGACAAUGGGCGCAAGCCUGAUCCAGCCAUGCCGCGUGCAGGAAGACUGCCCUAUGGGUUGUAAACUGCUUUUAUAUAGGAAGAAACCUUUCCACGUGUGGAAAGCUGACGGUACUAUAAGAAUAAGGAUCGGCUAACUCCGUGCCAGCAGCCGCGGUAAUACGGAGGAUCCAAGCGUUAUCCGGAAUCAUUGGGUUUAAAGGGUCCGUAGGUGGAUAAUUAAGUCAGGGGUGAAAGUCUGCAGCUCAACUGUAGAAUUGCCUUUGAUACUGGUUAUCUUGAAUUAUUGUGAAGUGGUUAGAAUAUGUAGUGUAGCGGUGAAAUGCAUAGAUAUUACAUAGAAUACCAAUUGCGAAGGCAGAUCACUAACAAUAUAUUGACACUGAUGGACGAAAGCGUGGGGAGCGAACAGGAUUAGAUACCCUGGUAGUCCACGCCGUAAACGAUGGUCACUAGCUGUUCGAACUUCGGUUUGAGUGGCUAAGCGAAAGUGAUAAGUGACCCACCUGGGGAGUACGUUCGCAAGAAUGAAACUCAAAGGAAUUGACGGGGGCCCGCACAAGCGGUGGAGCAUGUGGUUUAAUUCGAUGAUACGCGAGGAACCUUACCAGGGCUUAAAUGUAGAUUGCAUUAGCUAGAGAUAGCUAUUUCUUCGGACUAUCUACAAGGUGCUGCAUGGUUGUCGUCAGCUCGUGCCGUGAGGUGUCAGGUUAAGUCCUAUAACGAGCGCAACCCCUGUUGUUAGUUGCCAGCAUGUAAAGAUGGGAACUCUAACAAGACUGCCAGUGCAAACUGUGAGGAAGGUGGGGAUGACGUCAAAUCAUCACGGCCCUUACGUCCUGGGCUACACACGUGCUACAAUGGUAGGGACAGAGAGCAGCCACUUCGCGAGAAGGU